RNAcentral lists this transfer RNA (63 nucleotides) under Anodonta anatina. RNAcentral's name for it is "tRNA-His". Lineage: Eukaryota; Metazoa; Mollusca; Bivalvia; Unionida; Unionidae. The record is from RNAcentral.
UAAUGAGUAGUUUAAGAAAAACGAUAGGUUGUGGUUCUAUAAAUAAGAUUAACUUCUCAUUAG